GACGAACGCUGGCGGCGUGCUUAACACAUGCAAGUCGAGCGGUAAGGCCCUUUGGGGUACACGAGCGGCGAACGGGUGAGUAACACGUGAGUAAUCUGCCUUUGGCUUGGGAAUAACUUCGGGAAAUCGGGGCUAAUGCCUGAUGUUUACUGUCUGCUGCAUGGUGGGUGGUGGAAAGAUUUUUUGGCCAGGGAUGAGCUCGCGGUCUAUCAGCUUGUUGGUGGGGUAAUGGCUUACCAAGGCUUUGACGGGUAGCCGGCCUGAGAGGGUGUUCGGCCACACUGGGACUGAGACACGGCCCAGACUCCUACGGGAGGCAGCAGUGGGGAAUAUUGCGCAAUGGGCGUAAGCCUGACGCAGCGACGCCGCGUGGGGAUGAAGGCCU
RNAcentral lists this ribosomal RNA (385 nucleotides) under uncultured bacterium. Its description in RNAcentral is "partial 16S ribosomal RNA". It matches the Rfam family "Bacterial small subunit ribosomal RNA", at positions 28 to 417 of the family's 1533-position model. The record is from RNAcentral.